Molecule: ribosomal RNA, 640 nt
Filed under: Thermococcus sp. Ag85-vw
Lineage: Archaea; Methanobacteriati; Methanobacteriota; Thermococci; Thermococcales; Thermococcaceae
Description: bacterial SSU rRNA
Rfam family: Archaeal small subunit ribosomal RNA
Source: RNAcentral
ACCGGCGGACGGCUCAGUAACACGUCGGUAACCUACCCUCGGGAGGGGGAUAACCCCGGGAAACUGGGGCUAAUCCCCCAUAGGCCUGAGGUACUGGAAGGUCCUCAGGCCGAAAGGGGCUUUUGCCCGCCCGAGGAUGGGCCGGCGGCCGAUUAGGUAGUUGGUGGGGUAACGGCCCACCAAGCCGAAGAUCGGUACGGGCUGUGAGAGCAGGAGCCCGGAGAUGGACACUGAGACACGGGUCCAGGCCCUACGGGGCGCAGCAGGCGCGAAACCUCCGCAAUGCGGGAAACCGCGACGGGGGGACCCCGAGUGCCGUGGCACCGCCACGGCUUUUCUGGAGUGUAAAAAGCUCCAGGAAUAAGGGCUGGGCAAGGCCGGUGGCAGCCGCCGCGGUAAUACCGGCGGCCCGAGUGGUGGCCGCUAUUAUUGGGCCUAAAGCGUCCGUAGCCGGGCCCGUAAGUCCCUGGCGAAAUCCCACGGCUCAACCGUGGGGCUUGCUGGGGAUACUGCGGGCCUUGGGACCGGGAGAGGCGGGGGGUACCCCUGGGGUAGGGGUGAAAUCCUAUAAUCCCAGGGGGACCGCCAGUGGCGAAGGCGCCCCGCUGGAACGGUCCGACGGUGAGGGACGAAGACCAGG